AACACAUGCAAGUCGAGGGGCAGCAUGGUCUUUGCUUGCUAAGGCCGAUGGCGACCGGCGCACGGGUGAGUAACACGUAUCCAACCUGCCGUCUACUCUUGGACAGCCUUCUGAAAGGAAGAUUAAUACAAGAUGGCAUCAUGAGUCCGCAUGUUCACAUGAUUAAAGGUAUUCCGGUAGACGAUGGGGAUGCGUUCCAUUAGAUAGUAGGCGGGGUAACGGCCCACCUAGUCUUCGAUGGAUAGGGGUUCUGAGAGGAAGGUCCCCCACAUUGGAACUGAGACACGGUCCAAACUCCUACGGGAGGCAGCAGUGAGGAAUAUUGGUCAAUGGGCGAGAGCCUGAACCAGCCAAGUAGCGUGAAGGAUGACUGCCCUAUGGGUUGUAAACUUCUUUUAUAAAGGAAUAAAGUCGGGUAUGGAUACCCGUUUGCAUGUACUUUAUGAAUAAGGAUCGGCUAACUCCGUGCCAGCAGCCGCGGUAAUACGGAGGAUCCGAGCGUUAUCCGGAUUUAUUGGGUUUAAAGGGAGCGUAGAUGGAUGUUUAAGUCAGUUGUGAAAGUUUGCGGCUCAACCGUAAAAUUGCAGUUGAUACUGGAUAUCUUGAGUGCAGUUGAGGCAGGCGGAAUUCGUGGUGUAGCGGUGAAAUGCUUAGAUAUCACGAAGAACUCCGAUUGCGAAGGCAGCCUGCUAAGCUGCAACUGACAUUGAGGCUCGAAAGUGUGGGUAUCAAACAGGAUUAGAUACCCUGGUAGUCCACACGGUAAACGAUGAAUACUCGCUGUUUGCGAUAUACUGCAAGCGGCCAAGCGAAAGCGUUAAGUAUUCCACCUGGGGAGUACGCCGGCGACGGUGAAACUCAAAGGAAUUGACGGGGGCCCGCACAAGCGGAGGAACAUGUGGUUUAAUUCGAUGAUACGCGAGGAACCUUACCCGGGCUUAAAUUGCAGAUGAAUUACGGUGAAAGCCGUAAGCCGCAAGGCAUCUGUGAAGGUGCUGCAUGGUUGUCGUCAGCUCGUGCCGUGAGGUGUCGGCUUAAGCGCCAUAACGAGCGCAACCCUUGUUGUCAGUUACUAACAGGUUCCGCUGAGGACUCUGACAAGACUGCCAUCGUAAGAUGUGAGGAAGGUGAGGAUGACGUCAAAUCAGCACGGCCCUUACGUCCGGGGCUACACAAGUGUUACAAUGGGGGGUACAGAGGGCCGCUACCACGCGAGUGGAUGCCAAUCCCCAAAACCUCUCUCAGUUCGGACUGGAGUCUGCAACCCGACUCCACGAAGCUGGAUUCGCUAGUAAUCGCGCAUCAGCCACGGCGCGGUGAAUACGUUCCCGGGCCUUGUACACACCGCCCGUCAAGCCAUGGGAGCCGGGGGUACCUGAAGUGCGUAACCGCGAGGAGCGCCCUAGGGUAAAACUGGUGACUGGGGCUAAGU
RNAcentral lists this ribosomal RNA (1432 nucleotides) under uncultured organism. RNAcentral's name for it is "SSU rRNA". It matches the Rfam family "Bacterial small subunit ribosomal RNA". The record is from RNAcentral.